RNAcentral lists this ribosomal RNA (429 nucleotides) under Fusobacteriota bacterium. RNAcentral describes it as "Fusobacteria bacterium partial 16S ribosomal RNA". It matches the Rfam family "Bacterial small subunit ribosomal RNA", at positions 355 to 776 of the family's 1533-position model. The record is from RNAcentral. Lineage: Bacteria; Fusobacteriati; Fusobacteriota.
UGGGGAAUAUUGCGCAAUGGGCGAAAGCCUGACGCAGCGACGCCGCGUGAGGGAUGAAGGUUUUCGGAUCGUAAACCUCUGUCAGAAGGGAAGAAACCGCACUGUGCUAAUCAGCAGUGCCUUGACGGUACCUUCAAAGGAAGCACCGGCUAACUCCGUGCCAGCAGCCGCGGUAAUACGGAGGGUGCAAGCGUUAAUCGGAAUUACUGGGCGUAAAGCGCACGUAGGCUGCUUUGUAAGUCAGGGGUGAAAUCCCACGGCUCAACCGUGGAACUGACUUUGAUACUGCUUAGCUUGAAUCCGGGAGAGGGUGGCGGAAUUCCAGGUGUAGGAGUGAAAUCCGUAGAUAUCUGGAGGAACAUCAGUGGCGAAGGCGGCCACCUGGACCGGUAUUGACGCUGAGGUGCGAAAGCGUGGGGAGCAAACAGG